CCUACGGGAGGCAGCAGUGGGGAAUUUUGGACAAUGGGCGAAAGCCUGAUCCAGCAAUGCCGCGUGAGUGAAGAAGGCCUUCGGGUUGUAAAGCUCUUUUGUCAGGGAAGAAACGGUGUUUUCUAAUACAGAAUGCUAAUGACGGUACCUGAAGAAUAAGCACCGGCUAACUACGUGCCAGCAGCCGCGGUAAUACGUAGGGUGCAAGCGUUAAUCGGAAUUACUGGGCGUAAAGCGUGCGCAGGCGGUUUUGUAAGUCUGACGUGAAAUCCCUGGGCUCAACCUGGGAAUUGCGUUGGAGACUGCAAGGCUAGAGUUUGGCAGAGGGGGGUAGAAUUCCACGUGUAGCAGUGAAAUGCGUAGAUAUGUGGAGGAACACCGAUGGCGAAGGCAGCCCCCUGGGUCAAGACUGACGCUCAUGCACGAAAGCGUGGGGAGCAAACAGGAUUAGAUACCCUGGUAGUCCACGCCCUAAACGAUGUCUACUAGUUGUCGGGUCUUAAUUGACUUGGUAACGCAGCUAACGCGUGAAGUAGACCGCCUGGGGAGUACGGUCGCAAGAUUAAAACUCAAAUGAAAUUGACCGGNNGAGAGNGCGAGACGACGACGAGGGAGGAGG
RNAcentral lists this ribosomal RNA (619 nucleotides) under uncultured bacterium. Its description in RNAcentral is "bacterial SSU rRNA". It matches the Rfam family "Bacterial small subunit ribosomal RNA", at positions 338 to 948 of the family's 1533-position model. The record is from RNAcentral.